AAACACGUCACUUCUUCCGGUUAACACCAGAAAGGUAACAUAAGACAAGAUUUUAAUUCAUUUUUCUAUCUUAAUACUACUUAACAUUGUCUAAUCCACCUUAAUGAACAUGCGAUAACACAUUCUGUAGGCUGCUUAUACAGCUAUAAUAAGGAAUACAAGUGCUGACAAUAGGGAUGGACUAGAUUGGCUCCUAAAGUUAUAUAGAGAAGUUGGAUCAGUGCAAGAAGAGACAAGGGUCUUAUGUAAGAAUGUGGAUUCGAAUUAACAUUAAUCUUUCACUGCCGAUGUCUUCAUAUCUAUAAAAGCUUGCGAGAAGCAACGAAACGGUUUCAUGCAUUUUUAGACAAUAGAAACACGUCACUUCUUCCGGUUAACACCAGAAAGGUAACAUAAGACAAGAUUUUAAUUCAUUUUCUAUCUUAAUACUACUUAACAUUGUCUAAUCCACCUUAAUGAACAUGCGAUAACACAUUCUGUAGGCUGCUUAUACAGCUAUAAUAAGGAAUACAAGUGCUGACAAUAGGGAUGGACUAGAUUGGCUCCUAAAGUUAUAUAGAGAAGUUGGAUCAGUGCAAGAAGAGACAAGGGUCUUAUGUAAGAAUGUGGAUUCGAAUUAACAUUAAUCUUUCACUGCCGAUGUCUUCAUAUCUAUAAAAGCUUGCCCAAGUUUAAGUUCAUAUACUUUUAUGACCUUU
RNAcentral lists this long non-coding RNA (698 nucleotides) under Olea europaea (common olive). RNAcentral describes it as "long non-coding RNA (OEUR_LNC009182)". The record is from RNAcentral. Lineage: Eukaryota; Viridiplantae; Streptophyta; Magnoliopsida; Lamiales; Oleaceae.